AGUGAACGCUGGCGGUAGGCCUAACACAUGCAAGUCGAACGGCAGCACAGUAAGAGCUUGCUCUUACGGGUGGCGAGUGGCGGACGGGUGAGGAAUACAUCGGAAUCUACUUUUUCGUGGGGGAUAACGUAGGGAAACUUACGCUAAUACCGCAUACGACCUACGGGUGAAAGCAGGGGAUCUUCGGACCUUGCGCGAUUGAAUGAGCCGAUGUCGGAUUAGCUAGUUGGCGGGGUAAAGGCCCACCAAGGCGACGAUCCGUAGCUGGUCUGAGAGGAUGAUAAGCCACAUUGGAACUGAGACACGGUCCAGACUCCUACGGGAGGCAGCAGUGGGGAAUAUUGGACAAUGGGCGCAAGCCUGAUCCAGCCAUACCGCGUGGGUGAAGAAGGCCUUCGGGUUGUAAAGCCCUUUUGUUGGGAAAGAAAAGCAGCAGGUUAAUACCCCGCUGUUCUGACGGUACCCAAAGAAUAAGCACCGGCUAACUUCGUG
Molecule: ribosomal RNA, 492 nt
Filed under: uncultured bacterium
Lineage: Bacteria
Description: partial 16S ribosomal RNA
Rfam family: Bacterial small subunit ribosomal RNA
Source: RNAcentral